Molecule: ribosomal RNA, 406 nt
Filed under: uncultured bacterium
Lineage: Bacteria
Description: partial 16S ribosomal RNA
Rfam family: Bacterial small subunit ribosomal RNA
Source: RNAcentral
AUUGAACGCUAGCGGCAGGCUUAACACAUGCAAGUCGAACGAGUGGCGGACGGGUGAGUAAUGUCUGGGAAACUGCCCGCUGGCGGGGGAUAACUACUGGAAAUGGUAGCUAAUACCGCAUCCCAUUGGAUCGGCCCAGAUGGGCUUAGCUAGUAGGUGGGGUAACGGCUCACCAAGGCAACGAUCCCUAGCUGGUCUGAGAGGAUGACCAGCCACACUGGAACUGAGACACGGUCCAGACUCCUACGGGAGGCAGCAGUGGGGAAUAUUGCACAAUGGGCGCAAGCCUGAUGCAGCCAUGCCGCGUGUAUGAAGAAGGCCUUCGGGUUGUAAAGUACUUUCAGCGAGGAGGCGUUACUCGCAGAAGAAGCACCGGCUAACUCCGUGCCAGCAGCCGCGGUAAUAC